UACAGAGGUGCCAAGCGUUGUUCGGAAUUAUUGGGCGUAAAGCGCGUGUAGGCGGCUUUGCAAGUCGGGUGUGAAAGCCCUCGGCUCAACCGAGGAAGUGCGCCCGAAACUGCAGAGCUUGAGUACCGGAGAGGAUGGCGGAAUUCCCCAAGUAGAGGUGAAAUUCGUAGAUAUGGGGAGGAACACCGGUGGCGAAGGCGGCCAUCUGGACGGAUACUGACGCUGAGACGCGAAAGCGUGGGUAGCAAACAGG
Molecule: ribosomal RNA, 253 nt
Filed under: uncultured bacterium
Lineage: Bacteria
Description: partial 16S ribosomal RNA
Rfam family: Bacterial small subunit ribosomal RNA
Source: RNAcentral